This 517-nucleotide ribosomal RNA is filed under the name Arthrobacter sp. SJ41B. RNAcentral's name for it is "bacterial SSU rRNA". It matches the Rfam family "Bacterial small subunit ribosomal RNA", at positions 65 to 589 of the family's 1533-position model. Lineage: Bacteria; Bacillati; Actinomycetota; Actinomycetes; Micrococcales; Micrococcaceae. The record is from RNAcentral.
AACGACGACUUCUGGUGCUUGCCAAAAUGAGUAUUGGCGAAGGGGUGAGUAACUUUUGUGUAACCUGCCCUUGACUUCGGGAGCUCCUGGGAAACCGGGUCUAAUACCGGAUACUACCUCCUGGCGCAUGCCAUGGGGGUGGAAAGCUUUAUUGCGGUUUUGGAUGGACUCGCGGCCUAUCAUCUUGUUGGUUGGGGUAAUGGCCCACCAAGGCGACGACGGGUAGCCGGCCUGAGAAGGUGACCGGCCACCCUGGGACUGAAACACGGCCCAAACUCCUACGGGAGGCAGCAGUGGGGAAUAUUGCACGAUGGGCGAAAGCCUGAUGCAACGACCCCUCGUGAGGGAUGACGGCCUUCGGGUUGUAAACCUCUUUCAGCAGGGAAGAAGCGAAAGUGACCGUACCUGUACAAAAGGCGCCGGCUAAACUACGUGCCACCAGCCGCGGUAAUACAUAUGGCGCAAGCGUUAUCCGGAAUUAUUGGGCCUACAGAGCUAGCAAGCAGAUUGUCGCGAA